AUCUUCACCACUGCUCUCUCAGAGAUCCAGGUCCGGGAGAUGACAGUGGCUCCCAGAAAGCCCAGGAUUCAAUCGCUGAGAGAGUGCUUAGGCCCGAAUGCCGGCCCAAAUCGUUCUACUCACCGUGUCGGAGGCCGAGAGCGAUGAGAGUGCAGGGAAGUGGGGAAGAGGGGGUGGCCGCCAGGCUCCUCCGCUUCCCUGGGUCCACGGCGGAUCCCUCCCGCUUGUCAGGAGGCGGCCAGCGGGUAAGCUGACUGGCGGAAAUGCGAGAGAGGAGAAGGGAAAGGUGGAAGGCUAAAGGGGGCAAACUGAGGGGAGGCGGGUCCCGCAACCGAGACUGGGAUCGUCUCCCCUC
RNAcentral lists this long non-coding RNA (355 nucleotides) under Homo sapiens (human). RNAcentral's name for it is "non-protein coding ASH1L-AS1:6". The record is from RNAcentral. Lineage: Eukaryota; Metazoa; Chordata; Mammalia; Primates; Hominidae.